AUUGAACGCUGGCGGCAGGCCUAACACAUGCAAGUCGAGCGAGCGGCGGACGGGUGAGUAAUGUAUGGGGCCUGCUCGAUAGAGGGGGUUAACUACUGGAAACGGUGGCUAAUACCGCAUACUUUCGGCUAACCCAUGCGGGAUUAGCUAGUAGGUGGGGUAAAGGCUCACCUCGGCGACGAUCUCUAGCUGGUCUGAGAGGAUGAUCGGCCACACUGGGACUGAGACACGGCCCAGACUCCUACGGAGGCAGCAGUGGGGAAUAUUGCACAAUGGGCGCAAGCCUGAUGGAGCCAUGCCGCGUGUAUGAAGAAGGCCUUAGGGUUGUAAAGUACUUUCAGCAGGGAGGCGUUACCCACAGAGGAAGCCCCGGCUAACUACGUGCCAGCAGCCGCGGUAAUUC
Molecule: ribosomal RNA, 403 nt
Filed under: uncultured bacterium
Lineage: Bacteria
Description: partial 16S ribosomal RNA
Rfam family: Bacterial small subunit ribosomal RNA
Source: RNAcentral